AUUGAACGCUGGCGGCAGGCCUAACACAUGCAAGUCGAGCGGUAGCACAGAGAGCUUGCUCUCGGGUGACGAGCGGCGGACGGGUGAGUAAUGUCUGGGAAACUGCCUGAUGGAGGGGGAUAACUACUGGAAACGGUAGCUAAUACCGCAUAACGUCGCAAGACCAAAGUGGGGGACCUUCGGGCCUCAUGCCAUCAGAUGUGCCCAGAUGGGAUUGGCUAGUAGGUGGGGUAAUGGCUCACCUAGGCGACGAUCCCUAGCUGGUCUGAGAGGAUGACCAGCCACACUGGAACUGAGACACGGUCCAGACUCCUACGGGAGGCAGCAGUGGGGAAUAUUGCACAAUGGGCGCAAGCCUGAUGCAGCCAUGCCGCGUGUGUGAAGAAGGCCUUCGGGUUGUAAAGCACUUUCAGCGGGGAGGAAGGCGGUGAGGUUAAUAACCUCAUCGAUUGACGUUACCCGCAGAAGAAGCACCGGCUAACUCCGUGCCAGCAGCCGCGGUAAUACGGAGGGUGCAAGCGUUAAUCGGAAUUACUGGGCGUAAAGCGCACGCAGGCGGUCUGUCAAGUCGGAUGUGAAAUCCCCGGGCUCAACCUGGGAACUGCAUUCGAAACUGGCAGGCUAGAGUCUUGUAGAGGGGGGUAGAAUUCCAGGUGUAGCGGUAAAAUGCGUAGAGAUCUGGAGGAAUACCGGUGGCGAAGGCGGCCCCCUGGACAAAGACUGACGCUCAGGUGCGAAAGCGUGGGGAGCAAACAGGAUUAGAUACCCUGGUAGUCCACGCCGUAAACGAUGUCGAUUUGGAGGUUGUGCCCUUGAGGCGUGGCUUCCGGAGCUAACGCGUUAAAUCGACCGCCUGGGGAGUACGGCCGCAAGGUUAAAACUCAAAUGAAUUGACGGGGGCCCGCACAAGCGGUGGAGCAUGUGGUUUAAUUCGAUGCAACGCGAAGAACCUUACCUGGUCUUGACAUCCACAGAACUUUCCAGAGAUGGAUUGGUGCCUUCGGGAACUGUGAGACAGGUGCUGCAUGGCUGUCGUCAGCUCGUGUUGUGAAAUGUUGGGUUAAGUCCCGCAACGAGCGCAACCCUUAUCCUUUGUUGCCAGCGGUCCGGCCGGGAACUCAAAGGAGACUGCCAGUGAUAAACUGGAGGAAGGUGGGGAUGACGUCAAGUCAUCAUGGCCCUUACGACCAGGGCUACACACGUGCUACAAUGGCAUAUACAAAGAGAAGCGACCUCGCGAGAGCAAGCGGACCUCAUAAAGUAUGUCGUAGUCCGGAUUGGAGUCUGCAACUCGACUCCAUGAAGUCGGAAUCGCUAGUAAUCGUAGAUCAGAAUGCUACGGUGAAUACGUUCCCGGGCCU
Molecule: ribosomal RNA, 1361 nt
Filed under: uncultured bacterium
Lineage: Bacteria
Description: bacterial SSU rRNA
Rfam family: Bacterial small subunit ribosomal RNA
Source: RNAcentral